AUCGAUAAUCCACGCUAANUCUCACUUAAAUUAUAAAAUUUAUAUACCGCCAUCUUUAGAAUAAAUUUAAAAAUAUUCUCUAAAAAAUAAAUAAAAAGUUAGGUCAAGGUGUAAUCCAAAUUAAAGAAUAAGAUGAAUUACACUAAAAAUAAUUUAAAGAUUAUAUAUAGAUAUAAAUACAAAUAAGGAUUUAAAAGUAAUAUUAAAAUAAUAUUAUAAUAUGAUAUAGAUCAUGAAUGUGUACACAUCGCCC
This 253-nucleotide ribosomal RNA is filed under the name Flexicoelotes jiaohanyanensis. RNAcentral's name for it is "partial 12S ribosomal RNA". The record is from RNAcentral. Lineage: Eukaryota; Metazoa; Arthropoda; Arachnida; Araneae; Agelenidae.